UUAGAAGAACAGGGGUUUCUUUCGGCCUCCAGCAGUUUUCGAGUUGUAGGCCGGCGGAAACUACUUGCUCUUCAUC
This 76-nucleotide microRNA precursor is filed under the name Dendroctonus ponderosae (mountain pine beetle). RNAcentral describes it as "mir-2796 microRNA precursor family". It matches the Rfam family "mir-2796 microRNA precursor family". Lineage: Eukaryota; Metazoa; Arthropoda; Insecta; Coleoptera; Curculionidae. The record is from Rfam by way of RNAcentral.